AGGGGUCCUGCUGAGGCAACUCCAGCAAUAGGAGGUGAUUUGUCUAAUUGCUUUCAUCCUAGCCCAGGAUUCUGGAGUGCUCAGGUGAUCUGUGUGAUAAAGCAGUUUGGUGAGAACUUCCAGAAAUCUACCAAAUAUUAGAACUUAUGGAAGAUUAGCCCUGAGGUAACAUCUGCUGACAAUCCUCCUCUUUUUGCUGAGGAAGACUGGCCCUGAGCUCACAUCCUUGCCCAUCUCCCUCCACUUUAUGUGUGGGACUCCUGCCACAGCAUGUCUUGCCAAGCGGUGCCAUAUGGGCACCAGGGAUCCAAACCAGUGAACCCCGGGCCACCAAAGCAGAACGUGUGAACUUAACGGCUGGGCCACCAGGCUGGCCCCUAUUUUCACUUUUUAAAAUUUAUUUU
RNAcentral lists this long non-coding RNA (404 nucleotides) under Equus caballus (horse). RNAcentral's name for it is "lncRNA (ENSECAG00000056846.1)". The record is from RNAcentral. Lineage: Eukaryota; Metazoa; Chordata; Mammalia; Perissodactyla; Equidae.